GACGUAGGGGGCAAGCGUUGUCCGGAGUUACUGGGCGUAAAGGGCACGCAGGCGGCCGCGCGCGUUUUCGGUGCCAGCUCCUCGCCUAACGAGGAGAGUGCCGGGAAGACGGCGCGGCUUGAGGGCCUCAGAGGAACCUGGAAUUCCGGGUGGAGUGGUGAAAUGCGUAGAGAUCCGGAGGAACACCAAAGGCGAAGGCAGGGUUCUGGGAGGCGACUGACGCUGAGGUGCGAAAGCCAGGGGAG
This 245-nucleotide ribosomal RNA is filed under the name uncultured bacterium. RNAcentral's name for it is "partial 16S ribosomal RNA". It matches the Rfam family "Bacterial small subunit ribosomal RNA", at positions 524 to 768 of the family's 1533-position model. The record is from RNAcentral.